GACGAACGCUGGCGGCGUGCCUAAUACAUGCAAGUAGAACGCACAGUUUAUACCGUAGCUUGCUACACCAUAGACUGUGAGUUGCGAACGGGUGAGUAACGCGUAGGUAACCUGCCUGGUAGCGGGGGAUAACUAUUGGAAACGAUAGCUAAUACCGCAUAAUAUUGAUUAUUGCAUGAUAAUUAAUUGAAAGGUGCAAUUGCACCACUACCAGAUGGACCUGCGUUGUAUUAGCUAGUAGGUGAGGUAACGGCUCACCUAGGCGACGAUACAUAGCCGACCUGCGAGGGUGAGCGGCCACACUGGGACUGAGACACGGCCCAGACUCCUACGGGAGGCAGCAGUAGGGAAUCUUCGGCAAUGGACGAAAGUCUGACCGAGCAACGCCGCGUGAGUGAAGAAGGUUUUCGGAUCGUAAAGCUCUGUUGUAAGAGAAGAACGGGUGUGAGAGUGGAAAGUUCACACUGUGACGGUAUCUUACCAGAAAGGGACGGCUAACUACGUG
RNAcentral lists this ribosomal RNA (505 nucleotides) under uncultured bacterium. RNAcentral's name for it is "partial 16S ribosomal RNA". It matches the Rfam family "Bacterial small subunit ribosomal RNA", at positions 28 to 507 of the family's 1533-position model. The record is from RNAcentral.